Long non-coding RNA from Odontomachus brunneus, 450 nucleotides. RefSeq lists it as uncharacterized. Lineage: Eukaryota; Metazoa; Arthropoda; Insecta; Hymenoptera; Formicidae. The transcript is spliced from 3 exons. The record is from RefSeq and is a predicted model, not a curated record.
AACAUCUUGAAAUAUAAGUUUUUCGGAGUUAUAGCAGAAUUUUUAUGUAAAAAAUUUUUUUCCAUGGGUUACGGAGCCAUGAGAUUAUUUAUUAACUUUUAAUAGCUCAAAUUAUGGGUUUUUUGAGGUUAUGUCAAAAUCCUGAUCUGAUGGGGUUAAAUAGGCCACGGAUUUAGAUUCAGCAACCCCAAAAACAUAUGGUAGAUAUAGUCAGACUCCCAGAUCAAAACAAAAAAUUUUUUUUGUGUGGCUGUGUUAUUGCUGGCUGGCUGUCUGGUCGGUCGGACGUUUGUUUUAAAUUAUAAAAAAAUGGAUGUAGUAGAAAUGUGGGAAAUAUUUUUUGAUCACCUAUCUGAUGAAGAUGAUGAAGAUAACUUUCAACCUCUACGAGAACAUCAUAUAAAGAUCCCACAUUUUUUUUGAAAACAUUGUCGUAGCAUAUUCAUUGAC